This 253-nucleotide ribosomal RNA is filed under the name uncultured bacterium. RNAcentral's name for it is "partial 16S ribosomal RNA". It matches the Rfam family "Bacterial small subunit ribosomal RNA", at positions 524 to 776 of the family's 1533-position model. The record is from RNAcentral.
UACGGAGGAUCCAAGCGUUAUCCGGAUUUAUUGGGUUUAAAGGGUGCGUAGGCGGACCUUUAAGUCAGCGGUGAAAUCUCCCGGCUCAACCGGGGAAUUGCCGUUGAAACUAUUGGUCUUGAGUGUAGAUGAGGUGGGCGGAAUUCGUAGUGUAGCGGUGAAAUGCUUAGAUAUUACGAAGAACUCCAAUUGCGUAGGCAGCUCACUAGGCUACAACUGACGCUGAGGCACGAAGGUGCGGGGAUCAAACAGG